Molecule: ribosomal RNA, 440 nt
Filed under: uncultured bacterium
Lineage: Bacteria
Description: partial 16S ribosomal RNA
Rfam family: Bacterial small subunit ribosomal RNA
Source: RNAcentral
CCUACGGGUGGCAGCAGUGGGGAAUAUUGCACAAUGGGGGAAACCCUGAUGCAGCGACGCCGCGUGAGUGAAGAAGUAUUUCGGUAUGUAAAGCUCUAUCAGCAGGGAAGAAAAUGACGGUACCUGACUACUACGCCCCGGCUACCUACGUUCCAGCAGCCGCGGUCAUACGUCGGGGGCAAGCGUUAUCCGGAUUUACUGGGUGGAAAGGGAGCGUAGACGGCAGGUCAAGUCUGAAGUGAAAGCCCUCGGCCCAACUGCGGGACUGCUUUGGAAACUGCCAGGCUAGAGUGCUGGAGAGGUAAGCGGAAUUCCUAGUGUAGCGGUGAAAUGCGUAGAUAUUAGGAGGAACACCAGUGGCGAAGGCGGCUUACUGGACAGUAACUGACGUUGAGGCUCGAAAGCGUGGGGAGCAAACAGGAUUAGAUACCCCAGUAGUC